CUGGCUAAGAGGCUUUGUUUGUGGAUCUGCCACAUUUUGUAUGGAGUCAACUCUCUGCAUCUCGAUGAACUUCUUCUCGAUGUAUUCAUAUAUGAUGUGGAACUGCUGUUAGAAAAUAGGCUAAUUCACAUGCAUAGAUCGGUAUGAUUAUGCUAAUCAGAGUAAAAAUAGAUUUUAAAAAUUUUAAUCUAAUCUAAGUAUAUUGAUUCUAAAUUAUAA
Molecule: long non-coding RNA, 219 nt
Filed under: Elaeis guineensis (African oil palm)
Lineage: Eukaryota; Viridiplantae; Streptophyta; Magnoliopsida; Arecales; Arecaceae
Description: long non-coding RNA (EGUI_LNC066397)
Source: RNAcentral